RNAcentral lists this ribosomal RNA (252 nucleotides) under uncultured bacterium. RNAcentral's name for it is "partial 16S ribosomal RNA". It matches the Rfam family "Bacterial small subunit ribosomal RNA", at positions 524 to 776 of the family's 1533-position model. The record is from RNAcentral.
UACGUAGGUGGCAAGCGUUGUCCGGAAUUACUGGGUGUAAAGGGAGCGUAGGCGGGAAGGCAAGUUGAAUGUUUAAGGUACUGGCUCAACUGGUACAAGCGUUCAAAACUGUUUUUCUUGAGUGGAGUAGAGGUAAGCGGAAUUCCUAGUGUAGCGGUGAAAUGCGUAAAUAUUAGGAGGAACACCAGUGGCGAAGGCGGCUUACUGGGCUUUAACUGACGCUGAGGCUCGAAAGCGUGGGUAGCAAACAGG